GCCUGCCUCUCUCUUUCUCUGUCUUCUUCUUCUUUCUUUCUUUCUUCUUCUUCUUUUUCCUCCUCUUCCUCCUCUUUUCUGCUUUUCACUUCUUUGGCAUGGUAGCUGCCUUGGUUCUUCUCUUCAUCCACAUAAGUAAACCCUAAACCUCUCUUGAUUUCAUCUGAUUUAAAUCUAGAAUUUAAUUGUUAGAUGGGUUAGGGUAAUGG
RNAcentral lists this long non-coding RNA (209 nucleotides) under Elaeis guineensis (African oil palm). RNAcentral's name for it is "long non-coding RNA (EGUI_LNC071513)". Lineage: Eukaryota; Viridiplantae; Streptophyta; Magnoliopsida; Arecales; Arecaceae. The record is from RNAcentral.